RNAcentral lists this ribosomal RNA (443 nucleotides) under uncultured bacterium. RNAcentral describes it as "partial 16S ribosomal RNA". It matches the Rfam family "Bacterial small subunit ribosomal RNA", at positions 338 to 795 of the family's 1533-position model. The record is from RNAcentral.
CCUACGGGUGGCAGCAGUGGGGAAUAUUGGGCAAUGGGCGCAAGCCUGACCCAGCAACGCCGCGUGAAGGAAGAAGGCUUUCGGGUUGUAAACUUCUUUUCUCAGGGACGAAGCAAGUGACGGUACCUGACGAAUAAGCCACGGCUAACUACGUGCCAGCAGCCGCGGUAAUACGUAGGUGGCAAGCGUUAUCCGGAUUUACUGGGUGUAAAGGGCGUGUAGGCGGGAAAGCAAGUCAGAUGUGAAAACCCUGGGCCCAACCUUGGACCUGCAUUUGAAACUGUUUUUCUUGAGUACUGGAGAGGCAGGCGGAAUUCCGGGUGUAGCGGUGAAAUGCGUAGAUAUUAGGAGGAACACCAGUGGCGUAGGCGGUCUGCUGGACAGCAACUGACGCUGAGGCGCGAAAGCGUGGGGAGCAAACAGGAUUAGAUACCCCGGUAGUC